RNAcentral lists this unclassified non-coding RNA (715 nucleotides) under Hevea brasiliensis (rubber tree). Lineage: Eukaryota; Viridiplantae; Streptophyta; Magnoliopsida; Malpighiales; Euphorbiaceae. The record is from RNAcentral.
GGGAGCAAGCAUUAAAUUUUAAUUUCAGACUUUCAGUUAAUAGGUGAAGAAGGUCCCAGUUCUGAGCAUCAUAUCUGUGAACUUAAUAACCAGUCCUACAAUCAAUUACGUGCACACCAAAUUGCAAUUCCUUUCCCUUCUUGAAGCCAGGUAAUAUGAAAAAAUAAUGAAAUAAAAAAGGUAGGUGGUUUAAGUGGUUUAAUUAUAUUAGUACUUGCACAUUGUAGUUAACUGGUGAAUGAAGAUUCAUUCAAGCAUUCAAGGGGUAGUUUAUGGGUUUGGAUUGAGCUACCAAACAGUUGUGUAGCCCAACCAGGAAACUGGUUCUAAGUUCAAUAGCCACAGUAGAUUACUAGGACCCUCCUUUCCCUAAAAAAUUUAGUUAUUAAGCAUUUGCUAGGCCAUGUCCGUGAACCUGCACAACUUGGCUUGAAGAGUCUAAUAUGGUACCAUUCUUAAUUUAAAAAGGAAGAUUAAUGGAAGACUCUCAAGGAUCAAGAUGGCUGAUACAACUACAGCUUAAAAUAAAACUUUACAUAACAAACUAAGCUACUCAGUUCAUUUUACCACGCACCCACAAACUAGAAUACCGCAUUAUGGCAUUAUGUAUAGUACAUACGUUAUAUGAAAAUGAGAAACAACAACUAUCCGGAUGGACCGUAAAAGAAAAAUUAAAGGUGAUCAAUAACAAAGCAAACACAGAAUAGGAACUAGA